This 275-nucleotide ribosomal RNA is filed under the name Staphylococcus hominis. Its description in RNAcentral is "partial 16S ribosomal RNA". Lineage: Bacteria; Bacillati; Bacillota; Bacilli; Caryophanales; Staphylococcaceae. The record is from RNAcentral.
CUUGGUAAGCCGUUACCUUACCAACUAGCUAAUACGGCGCAGGUCCAUCUAUAAGUGAUAGCAAAGCCAUCUUUCACUAUCGAACCAUGCGGUUCGAAAUAUUAUCCGGUAUUAGCUCCGGUUUCCCGAAGUUAUCCCAGUCUUAUAGGUAGGUUACCUACGUGUUACUCACCCGUCCGCCGCUAACGUCAAAGGAGCAAGCUCCUCGUCUGUUCGCUCGACUUGCAUGUAUUAGGCACGCCGCCAGCGUUCAUCCUGAGCCAGGAUCAAACUCU